This 468-nucleotide ribosomal RNA is filed under the name uncultured bacterium. RNAcentral's name for it is "partial 16S ribosomal RNA". It matches the Rfam family "Bacterial small subunit ribosomal RNA", at positions 28 to 507 of the family's 1533-position model. The record is from RNAcentral.
GACGAACGCUGGCGGCGUGCUUAACACAUGCAAGUCGAACGGAAAGGCCCAAGCUUGGUUGGGUACUCGAGUGGCGAACGGGUGAGUAACACGUGAGUGACCUGCCCUUCACUUCGGGAUAAGCCUGGGAAACUGGGUCUAAUACCGGAUAGGACGACGGUUUGGAUGGCAUUGUGGAGAGCUUUUUGGGUGUGGGGUGGGCUCGCGGGCUAUCAGCUUGUUUGUGGGGUUAUGGUCUACCAAGGCGUCGAGGGGGAGCCGGGCUGGGGGGGGGUACCGGCACAAUGGGGCUUGGAUACGGGCCAGACUCCUACGGGGGGGAGGAGUGGGGGAAAUUUGACAAAGGGGGGAAGGCUGGUGGAGCGAAGCCGCGUGGGGGGUGGCGGGCCUUGGGGUGUAAACUCCUUUUGCGCGGGGCGAAGCGUUUUUGUGACGGUACCUGGAGAAGAAGCACCGGCUAACUACGUG